AUACUUACCUGGCAGGGGAGGUACCGUGAUCACAAAAGUGAUUUUCCGAGGCUUAUUCAUUGCACUCAGGAUGUGCUGACCCCUGCAAUUUCCCCAAAUGUGGAAAAGUCGACUGUGUAAUUUGUGUUAGUAGGGAACUGAAUUCGUGCUCUUCCCUA
This 158-nucleotide small nuclear RNA is filed under the name Carlito syrichta (Philippine tarsier). Its description in RNAcentral is "U1 spliceosomal RNA (ENSTSYG00000035047.1)". It matches the Rfam family "U1 spliceosomal RNA". Rfam says of the family: U1 is a small nuclear RNA (snRNA) component of the spliceosome (involved in pre-mRNA splicing). Lineage: Eukaryota; Metazoa; Chordata; Mammalia; Primates; Tarsiidae. The record is from Rfam by way of RNAcentral.